RNAcentral lists this ribosomal RNA (245 nucleotides) under uncultured Caldilinea sp. RNAcentral describes it as "partial 16S ribosomal RNA". It matches the Rfam family "Bacterial small subunit ribosomal RNA", at positions 524 to 768 of the family's 1533-position model. Lineage: Bacteria; Bacillati; Chloroflexota; Caldilineae; Caldilineales; Caldilineaceae. The record is from RNAcentral.
UACGUAGGUGACAAGCGUUAUCCGGAAUUACUGGGCGUAAAGCGCACGCAGGCGGCUGAUUAAGUCUGACGUGAAAUCUCCUGGCUUAACUGGGAGGGGUCGUUGGAAACUGGUCGGCUUGAGGCAGUGAGAGGGGUGUGGAAUUCCCGGUGUAGUGGUGGAAUGCGUAGAUAUCGGGAGGAACACCAGUGGCGAAAGCGGCGCCCUGGCACUGGCCUGACGCUCAUGUGCGAAAGCGUGGGGAG